AUAUUGCACAAUGGGCGCAAGCCUGAUGCAGCCAUGCCGCGUGUGUGAAGAAGGCCUUCGGGUUGUAAAGCACUUUCAGCGGGGAGGAAGGCGUUAAGGUUAAUAACCUUGGCGAUUGACGUUACCCGCAGAAGAAGCACCGGCUAACUCCGUGCCAGCAGCCGCGGUAAUACGGAGGGUGCAAGCGUUAAUCGGAAUUACUGGGCGUAAAGCGCACGCAGGC
This 223-nucleotide ribosomal RNA is filed under the name Klebsiella pneumoniae. RNAcentral describes it as "partial 16S ribosomal RNA". It matches the Rfam family "Bacterial small subunit ribosomal RNA", at positions 361 to 576 of the family's 1533-position model. The record is from RNAcentral. RNAcentral also lists the same sequence under 5 other names. Lineage: Bacteria; Pseudomonadati; Pseudomonadota; Gammaproteobacteria; Enterobacterales; Enterobacteriaceae.